This is a long non-coding RNA of Oncorhynchus mykiss (rainbow trout), 229 nucleotides long. RefSeq lists it as uncharacterized. Lineage: Eukaryota; Metazoa; Chordata; Actinopteri; Salmoniformes; Salmonidae. The record is from RefSeq and is a predicted model, not a curated record.
GCCACCUUCAAAAUGGCGGAACACAGCUGGAUGUUCUGACAUCCCGUCUCCAUGGCGAUGGUCCUCUGCCCCCUGAGGAAAGAAGGAAGGAUGUCCAAAUAAGGAUUUGAUUGCUUGACAUUGAAUUCUAACUGAGGUAUGAAAGGACGUAUCCUAAAGUGUAGCCAAUGAGGGGCAUGAGGGCAGCAGUGGCCAUUAGUUGAGGGGACAGGACGGUCAGCAUCACAUU